GGACUUCUGAAGAGUCUCACAAUAAGAGGAAACGGUCGUCUAGUGC
Molecule: non-coding RNA, 46 nt
Organism: Schistosoma curassoni
Lineage: Eukaryota; Metazoa; Platyhelminthes; Trematoda; Strigeidida; Schistosomatidae
Source: Rfam